UUGGAAACUAGGAUGAAAGGUUUUAUAUUUAAGAGGGUUUGUUAUUAAGCUAAUUGAAUUUUUAGCAGGAGUAAAAAUACUUUUAUGUUUAAGAGAGACGAUAAGACCCUAAAAUCUUUAUUUGAGAGAAGGUUUUUGCUUUAGGUGGAAUUUAUUUGGGGUAAAUAUUUUUUAAUGAUAAAAUAAUGUUUUACUUAAGUGUGUUAGAAUCUUAAAUUGGGUUAUUAGAAAAAGUUACUUUAGGGAUAACAGCGUAAUUUUUUAUUGGAGAAGGUAUUUAUUAGAUUUUUACGACCUCGAUGUUGAAUUAAAAAUUCUUUUUGUAGCAGUAUGCAAGGGAGAAGGUUUGUUCAACCUUUUAUUUUUUACAUGAUCUGAGUUCAAACCGG
Molecule: ribosomal RNA, 389 nt
Filed under: Chelicorophium maeoticum
Lineage: Eukaryota; Metazoa; Arthropoda; Malacostraca; Amphipoda; Corophiidae
Description: partial 16S ribosomal RNA
Source: RNAcentral